AAAAAGAUAAGCUAACUAAGCUAUAGGGUUCAUACCCCUUCCAUAAAGGUCAAAUCCUUUUCUUUUUA
This 68-nucleotide transfer RNA is filed under the name Aplosonyx pictus. RNAcentral's name for it is "tRNA-Met". It matches the Rfam family "tRNA". Rfam says of the family: Transfer RNA (tRNA) molecules are approximately 80 nucleotides in length. Their secondary structure includes four short double-helical elements and three loops (D, anti-codon, and T loops). Lineage: Eukaryota; Metazoa; Arthropoda; Insecta; Coleoptera; Chrysomelidae. The record is from RNAcentral.